RNAcentral lists this ribosomal RNA (468 nucleotides) under uncultured bacterium. RNAcentral describes it as "bacterial SSU rRNA". It matches the Rfam family "Bacterial small subunit ribosomal RNA", at positions 8 to 508 of the family's 1533-position model. The record is from RNAcentral.
AGGGUUUGAUCAUGGCUCAGAACGAACGCUGGCGGUAGGCUUAACACAUGCAAGUCGAACGAACUAAGGGUUGCUUGCAACUUUUAGUUAGUGGCAGACGGGUGCGUAAUGUGUGGGAACUUACCUGGUAGUGGGGAAUAGCCAGUGGAAACACUGGGUAACACCCCAUAAGCCCUUAGGGGGAAAAAUUUAUUGCUAUCAGAAAGGCCCACAUCGGAUUAGCUUGUUGGUGAGGUAAUUGCUCACCAAGGCUAUGAUCCGUAGCUGGUCUGAGAGGAUGAUCAGCCACACUGGAACUGAGACACGGUCCAGACUCCUACGGGAGGCAGCAGUGGGGAAUAUUGGACAAUGGGCGAAAGCCUGAUCCAGCCAUACCGCGUGAGUGAUGAAGGCCUUAGGGUUGUAAAGCUCUCUUAGUGGGGAAGAUAAUGACGGUACCCACAGAAAAAGUCCCGGCUAACUCCGUGC